GACGAACGCUGGCGGCGUGCCUAAUACAUGCAAGUAGAACGCACAGUUUAUACCGUAGCUUGCUACACCAUAAACUGUGAGUUGCGAACGGGUGAGUAACGCGUAGGUAACCUGCCUGGUAGCGGGGGAUAACUAUUGGAAACGAUAGCUAAUACCGCAUAAUAUUGAUUAUUGCAUGAUAAUUGAUUGAAAGAUGCUAUUGCAUCACUACCAGAUGGACCUGCGUUGUAUUAGCUAGUAGGUGAGGUAACGGCUCACCUAGGCGACGAUACAUAGCCGACCGGAGGGGGUGAUCGGCAACACUGGGACUGAGCAACGGCCCAGACUCCUACGGGAGGCAGCAGUAGGGAAUCUUCGGAAAUGGACGAAAGUCUGACCGAGCAACGCCGCGGGAGUGAAGAAGGUUUUCGGAUCGUAAAGCUCUGUUGUAAGAGAAGAACGGGUGUGAGAGUGGAAAGUUCACACUGUGACGGUAUCUUACCAGAAAGGGACGGCUAACGACG
This 503-nucleotide ribosomal RNA is filed under the name uncultured bacterium. RNAcentral describes it as "partial 16S ribosomal RNA". It matches the Rfam family "Bacterial small subunit ribosomal RNA", at positions 28 to 505 of the family's 1533-position model. The record is from RNAcentral.